GAAUGUCCGGCUGAUGCAGACGAUGAAACAGUGCAGCAGUAUACCAGGGCAUACUUGUGGUAUGUAGUCAGCCGGACUCUUUUCUCGGACGGCACUGGCGUCAACGCUUCCUUUAUGUGGCUUAAGAUGUUUGCUGGUUGGGAGCAUGGACUCAGUUGGGGUACGGCGGCAUUGGCUUAUUUGUAUCGUCAGGUAAGUAGUUUUGCUUAUAAUAGUGUGUUCACUAUGUAG
RNAcentral lists this ribosomal RNA (231 nucleotides) under Triticum aestivum (bread wheat). Its description in RNAcentral is "partial small subunit ribosomal RNA". The record is from RNAcentral. Lineage: Eukaryota; Viridiplantae; Streptophyta; Magnoliopsida; Poales; Poaceae.